Photinus pyralis (common eastern firefly) is the source of this 378-nucleotide long non-coding RNA. RefSeq lists it as uncharacterized. The transcript has 2 exons. The record is from RefSeq and is a predicted model, not a curated record. NCBI's taxonomy places the organism in Eukaryota, Metazoa, Arthropoda, Insecta, Coleoptera, Lampyridae.
CAUAGAUAAGAUUUAGGAAGGUAUAAAAGAAGAACUAUCAUUAUUCAGAGGCAUAAGUUUCCCUAGUUUGUGAUUGUCACAGAAUUAUAAACUCGUUAAUAUGAAGGGUAGUAUAAUAGUGCCCGUUUUGGUAGUACUAAUCGCGUGUGCCUUCAAUUUCGCGGAUGCUCAGAUCAGUGGGGGUUGUAUCUUUUCCUGCAGCAUUUGGAACGUAUGUCGAGCACAACAGGCGAUUCAAGGGAACCCGGCAAGUUGUGAUCCACAACCUGCAGGUUGUGACUGCAGACGUUUUUUAUGGGAGAGAUAAUUACUUUUUUGUUUGACAAAUUAUACUUAUUAUAAAUUUUUAAUGUGGGUUAAUAAAAUAAAAAGAAAUUC